This is a long non-coding RNA of Xenia sp. Carnegie-2017, 110 nucleotides long. RefSeq lists it as uncharacterized. The transcript has 4 exons. Lineage: Eukaryota; Metazoa; Cnidaria; Anthozoa; Malacalcyonacea; Xeniidae. The record is from RefSeq and is a predicted model, not a curated record.
AAAAUGAUUAAAAAAGUGUAAAGAAUUACAGUGCCAUGUUUCGCUUAUUUUUCCACUUAUGUUCAGAUCCCUUAAAAAAACUUUCCAAUGUACUCUGCGUUGAUAUCACU